Molecule: ribosomal RNA, 497 nt
Filed under: uncultured bacterium
Lineage: Bacteria
Description: partial 16S ribosomal RNA
Rfam family: Bacterial small subunit ribosomal RNA
Source: RNAcentral
GAUGAACGCUGGCGGCGUGCCUAAUACAUGCAAGUCGAGCGAACAGACGAGGAGCUUGCUCCUCUGACGUUAGCGGCGGACGGGUGAGUAACACGCGGAUAACCUACCUAUAAGACUGGGAUAACUUCGGGAAACCGGAGCUAAUACCGGAUAACAUGUUGAACCGCAUGGUUCAACAGUGAAAGACGGUCUUGCUGUCACUUAUAGAUGGAUCCGCGCCGCAUUAGCUAGUUGGUAAGGUAACGGCUUACCAAGGCAACGAUGCGUAGCCGACCUGAGAGGGUGAUCGGCCACACUGGAACUGAGACACGGUCCAGACUCCUACGGGAGGCAGCAGUAGGGAAUCUUCCGCAAUGGGCGAAAGCCUGACGGAGCAACGCCGCGUGAGUGAUGAAGGUCUUCGGAUCGUAAAACUCUGUUAUUAGGGAAGAACAAAUGUGUAAGUAACUAUGCACGUCUUGACGGUACCUAAUCAGAAAGCCACGGCUAACUACGUG